UGCCGCGGUGAAUACGUUCCCGGGCCUUGUACACACCGCCCGUCACACCAUGAGAGUUUGCAACACCCAAAGUCGGUGGGGUAACCCUUCGGGGAGCUAGCCGCCUAAGGUGGGGCAGAUGAUUAGGGUGAAGUCGUAACAAGGUAGCCGUAGGAGAACCUGCGGCUGGAUCACCUCCUUUCUAAGGAAUUAAUCGGAAACCUGCACAUUCGUUGAAACUGCGUUCAGUUUUGAGGGGUCUACCCUCACUUGUACUUUGAAAACUAAAUAAUAUUUAUUUCUUUAUUCACAUUAAACCGAAACACCGCGUUAUUUGAUUUUAUUAACAAAUU
This 332-nucleotide unclassified non-coding RNA is filed under the name Limosilactobacillus fermentum. RNAcentral describes it as "Lactobacillus fermentum partial contains 16S ribosomal RNA and 16S-23S ribosomal RNA intergenic spacer". The stretch from base 1 to 181 matches the Rfam family "Bacterial small subunit ribosomal RNA", at positions 1355 to 1533 of the family's 1533-position model. The record is from RNAcentral. Lineage: Bacteria; Bacillati; Bacillota; Bacilli; Lactobacillales; Lactobacillaceae.